Molecule: ribosomal RNA, 497 nt
Filed under: uncultured bacterium
Lineage: Bacteria
Description: partial 16S ribosomal RNA
Rfam family: Bacterial small subunit ribosomal RNA
Source: RNAcentral
GAUGAACGCUGGCGGCGUGCCUAAUACAUGCAAGUCGAGCGAACAGACGAGGAGCUUGCUCCUUUGACGUUAGCGGCGGACGGGUGAGUAACACGUAGGUAACCUACCUAUAAGACUGGGAUAACUUCGGGAAACCGGAGCUAAUACCGGAUAAUAUUUCGAACCGCAUGGUUCGAUAGUGAAAGAUGGCUUUGCUAUCACUUAUAGAUGGACCUGCGCCGUAUUAGCUAGUUGGUAAGGUAACGGCUUACCAAGGCAACGAUACGUAGCCGACCUGAGAGGGUGAUCGGCCACACUGGAACUGAGACACGGUCCAGACUCCUACGGGAGGCAGCAGUAGGGAAUCUUCCGCGAUGGGCGAAAGCCUGACGGAGCAACGCCGCGUGAGUGAUGAAGGUCUUCGGAUCGUAAAACUCUGUUAUUAGGGAAGAACAAACGUGUAAGUACCUGCGCACGUCUUGACGGUACCUAAUCAGAAAGCCACGGCUAACUACGUG